CAGCCGUAAACGAUGCGCGUUAGGUGUAUCGACGACCACGAGUCGUCGAGGUGCCGAAGGGAAACCGUGAAACGUGCCGCCUGGGAAGUACGGUCGCAAGGCUGAAACUUAAAGGAAUUGGCGGGGAGCACCACAACAGGUGGAGCCUGCGGUUUAAUUGGACUCAACGCCGGAAAUCUCACCGGAUAAGACAGCAGAAUGAUUGCCGGGCUGAAGACCCUGCAUGACUAGCUGAGAGGAGGUGCAUGGCGUAGACGUCU
RNAcentral lists this ribosomal RNA (260 nucleotides) under uncultured archaeon. RNAcentral's name for it is "partial 16S ribosomal RNA". It matches the Rfam family "Archaeal small subunit ribosomal RNA", at positions 748 to 1009 of the family's 1478-position model. The record is from RNAcentral.